Molecule: non-coding RNA, 247 nt
Organism: Pelobates cultripes (western spadefoot toad)
Lineage: Eukaryota; Metazoa; Chordata; Amphibia; Anura; Pelobatidae
Source: the annotation of a GenBank genome assembly
AUCUGCUCGAGGUAGCUUGCUGGAGACAAGGCCAUCUACUCAUGAGCUGGAGACUCUCCCAACCGAGUGGCAGGAGGUGGGAGCAUGUCGGCGCUGACUUCGGAGCCGGGUAAAGUAACUGUUAUCAGGGGACACCCUAGGUGAAGCCUAGGUGAAGCCAUACAGGAGGGGAGCCGAGACUGUUUUGGGAGGGUAUUAUGCCUAUCAUGCCCAGGCUUCCUUUAUAUAUUGCCAGUGCUGAGGUUGG